This is a non-coding RNA of Danio rerio (zebrafish), 2756 nucleotides long. NCBI's taxonomy places the organism in Eukaryota, Metazoa, Chordata, Actinopteri, Cypriniformes, Danionidae. The record is from RefSeq and is a predicted model, not a curated record.
AAUUUUAGUCACUCACGUAACCCAAGCAAAAAGACGCCAAUCUAAACGAAAACUGUGGUAUUAUUAAUUUUGGCCUGCCCUGCACGAACUCACUUUCUUAGUACAGAUGUGUGUUGUCAGUACAGGAAUCUGAAGGUGCGAUCAGGUGCACCUGCAGGCUGUGAUGGUCGUAAGCUAAAGCGGUGCAACUGAAUCUUAUAAGCUUCGUCUACGCCUAGAGGAUAAGUUGCGUUUAUUUCUCCGCUGAUAGAACGAACCCAGCUAUUACUCUGCCCAUACGCCAACCCAAAACCGCGUGAGAAAUAAGAUGGGCGUAGCUCGAAAUGGAUCCUGCGCGCGGACUUUGGAACAAUAACUCAUCAAUUCACAACGGGACGCUGUUUAAACGCAAGCUGCUUGAUUUUCUGCACACGUCCACACGUGGAGACCAACGACAGACUCGAUCCCAGCAGUCCUAGGAGUAGUAGCACUGGAUUGGCAGGAAUGUCGAGAACAAGUUGUGCACUUGAGCUAAUAAGGCGUCACAGCAUUCAGUCAGGCUGUUUGAAACUAAUUAUGGACAUCAGUAGUAAAGUUGAUGCGCGAUUGGCUGGAAUAGUGCGUUGUUUUCAGCGAUUUAUAUUUCUGCAAUGGCUUUUUUUCGUCUUUGCUUGUGGAUUAGAGCUUGUGGUGUAGACUGGAUCAACCCUAGUUUGGCAGAGUUCAUCACUAUAGGCUACUAAGAGUUCAUCACUGUACUUAAAGGAAAAUGAGACUGUGGGAGAAAUCAGUGAUAAAACACAACCCAAAUGACCACAGAUUAGGAGUCGGAAGACGAGCAGAGAGUGGGAGUAGCGAUAGUGGUGGAGGAGUGAACCCGGAGCAGGUGAACACAGCUGCGGACCGCCAUGGGCUCUCUUCCAUCGGUCCCGACUCUCCGUCUUCAGGUCUCUGAGAGACGGCAGGGGCCAGCCAGGGAGCGUCGGAGUGGGCAGGAGAGGCAGCUCGCUUUCCCCGCCGGCUACCGACUCCUCAGCAGCGAGGAGGGAGAGAAAUCAAUACUGAGGAGAGAUGCUGCCAGGGGUCGCCCAACGCUGCCUCCAGCCAUGGAGCCAUGGGAGCUCGUGUGUUCAGCUUUCUCUCUCUCAGCCCAUUCUCAGUCAACUAGCAUCAGCUAAAGAGAGGGCCAACAGCCUUGACGCUCUUCAUGCAACGCCGAGUGUGUGUGUAUGCGUGUGUGGUUCUGCCAGAGGGCCUUUCCAGGCUCAGCAUCACUUGAUAAAACUUUGCCUGCUGGAGAAUGAGUAGAAAAAGAAUGUCAAAGGUCUUUUUUUCCCCCGUCUUUGAUUCCUUUUUCGCCAUGAGUGCACAUUCCCCCUGACUGUUGUAAUGAGUGCUUGACGGAGAUCUCUUUUACGCUAAAUCAAGAGGCCUUCUUUUUUUAGUGGUCCUCCUCCUAAGCAUGCACAAAGUGCUCUACACCUGAUGGGCCAGGAUGAGAGAGCAGUAUGAAUCCUUUUUCACCUUUUCCACAAUGGUUUUUACAUGAUUUUCUUUUUUUUUUUUUGAUGGCAGUCACUAUUCGAGUGGCCUGGAGAAGGACUUGGCUUUGAUUUGUAGGUGAAGGGCUUGGCACUUACUCUCCCUGGGCACUUCGCAACGGCUUUCACCCUUGACCGUGGCACUUGAUGGGUAUUAAUAAUGUUGCGGACCAAUGGAGGACACAGUGAGAUGGAGCUUGUGCACAAGUUCUACAAAAGUUGCUCCUGCAUGACCAGAGAUCCAAUUGGAUGUGGACAACUGAAAAUGCAACUUUAACAAGAUGCUAACAUUUUUAUAACUGGAUAGUUCCAGUAUUCUUGGAUGCCCAACGAGAACCAGUUAAAUUUGGAUCAAAUGUGAUAUGCCUGAAUUUUCACAUCUGUGCUGCAUCUACAGAGCAAGAGUGGAAAAGAGCUGCUGGCCCUUUAAAACAGGUGUUGUGACACAUAAGAAAAACAGAAGAAAUCUCAAGACAACAAGCGGAUCAAGAGGAGAUGUUUUUCCUUUCUUCUAUUUUUUUUUUUUUUUGUCACUCUACGUAAAAAAACACUGUAGUUGUUGUUUUUGUUGGAUCUGUCUUCAAGUAAGUAAUUGUGACCAACAACGGUAAGUUUUUUAAAUCUACAGUACUACAAAGUAUAUUAUAGAUAUUAGAGCUUGAUAGUGCAGAUCUUUAAGUAGAUGUCUGGAUAGAUGCUGUAUUCAUGAUAGGCACAUAUUAGGAUUUAAAUUUAUGAUAAAAACAUUUCUCAAUAGAUUUUCAGAUAAAUGUUACUGCAUAAAGAUGUUUUUGCACGGUUUAAGGCAAAGUUGUUAUCCCUACUUUUUUAUUAACUUUAAAACUUCUCAAGUGAUGUUUAAAAGAGCAAGGAAAUUUUCCCAGUACUUCCUGUUGUAUAUUUUUUUCAGUGUAAAUCUUUUAGUUUGGCUGAAAUAAAUACAGGUUUUACAUUUUAAAAAAGAUUUUAAUCAGGGUCAAUAUUAGAAACGUAAUGGCUACAUAAUGGUUGGGCUACAGAACAAACCAAUGUUGUCCAAUGAGCUGUAACAACAGAGCUCUUGAGGUUUUUUGGGGGACAACUUAAUUGAUUUACGCUCAAUCCACUUCAAUUUGUAAUAACAAGUUAACUUAAUCAAUUUAUGUUGGGACUACUUGAAGGAAUUGUGUGGAACCCAGCCUUUUUUAGCGUAGUUAACCUAAUUAUUACCAUAGAUAAGUCUUUAAAUUGCACUUU